Molecule: non-coding RNA, 81 nt
Organism: Schizophyllum commune H4-8
Lineage: Eukaryota; Fungi; Basidiomycota; Agaricomycetes; Agaricales; Schizophyllaceae
Source: Rfam
GCCCUGCUAGCUCAGUGGUAGAGCGUCGCACUCGUACAACGUUCGAUGCGAAGGUCAGUCGUUCAAGUCGGCUGUGGGGCA